CAGUUUGUGUUUUCUUUUGACAAGCCCAUACUACCUGUACAACAUUAUUAAUCCAGUGACUGGGCCCCUACAUGAACAACACAGGCCUAAUUUCAUCUUCAUGGACGAAAAUGCUCUAGCUCAUC
Hippocampus comes (tiger tail seahorse) is the source of this 125-nucleotide long non-coding RNA. RefSeq lists it as uncharacterized. The record is from RefSeq and is a predicted model, not a curated record. Lineage: Eukaryota; Metazoa; Chordata; Actinopteri; Syngnathiformes; Syngnathidae. The transcript is spliced from 3 exons.